CAGUCGCCACGGGAAUACGGAGGGUGCAAGCGUUAAUCGGAAUUACUGGGCGUAAAGCGCACGCAGGCGGUCUGUCAAGUCAGAUGUGAAAUCCCCGGGCUUAACCUGGGAACUGCAUUUGAAACUGGCAGGCUAGAGUCUUGUAGAGGGGGGUAGAAUUCCAGGUGUAGCGGUGAAAUGCGUAGAGAUCUGGAGGAAUACCGGUGGCGAAGGCGGCCCCCUGGACAAAGACUGACGCUCAGGUGCGAAAGCGUGGGGAGCAAACAGGAUUAGAUACCCGGGUAGUCCCUGUCUCUUAUAC
RNAcentral lists this ribosomal RNA (301 nucleotides) under uncultured bacterium. Its description in RNAcentral is "partial 16S ribosomal RNA". It matches the Rfam family "Bacterial small subunit ribosomal RNA", at positions 509 to 807 of the family's 1533-position model. The record is from RNAcentral.